GUAUCUGUGUAAUGGAGACUGAUAUAUCCAAAUGUGAGGCUACAGUACAGUGUGCAUUUCUACUUCUGGAUCAAGGAUGGACUCCCAGUGAAACUGUUGGAUGUGUCUUGACAUUGG
Long non-coding RNA from Ochotona curzoniae (black-lipped pika), 117 nucleotides. RefSeq lists it as uncharacterized. Lineage: Eukaryota; Metazoa; Chordata; Mammalia; Lagomorpha; Ochotonidae. The record is from RefSeq and is a predicted model, not a curated record. The transcript is spliced from 3 exons.